AAUUGAAUUUGGGCCUUUCUUGGGCCAAAUUCGCUACUGUUUUUGGGAAUUUUACUCAAUCCCGUUUUUGUAUACACUUGAUGUAGAUCAGUGUAUAUCGGCAUGUAUAUCAGCCCUUUUCAUGUAUAUCUUUCUUCCAAACUCAUGUAUUUCGCAUCAGCCCUGUAUCCCUGCGUUUUUGGCCUGUAUAUUGACGUAUACUGAAUGUAUACAGUGUAUAAUGGAUGUAUAUAGUCCAUCUUAGGACUUUUGGAGGCUUGUAUCUGGGUUUCCAGCCUUUGUGUAUUCGUUCAACUGCCUAUAACCUGUUCAUCGGCUAUUUUUAGACUCGAUAAAGGGAAGCAUAAUCCCCGAAAUGCAAGGAUAGGAAUGGAGUCCCCAUGGACUCAAGUGGCAUUCGCACAUAACGGAAGAAAGAAGAAAAUAUAUUAGUACGAUUCAAAGAAAAAGAAAACUUUCAUGACAUAAGAAAUAACCAUUUUUACUUGGGAUGGUAAAGAAAAUAAAAUAUAUUCAAGUAAGGGAAUUCGAAACAAAAAGUGAACAAAUGAAACAACUCUCAAGCAUAACUAUUUAGAAUUUAAAAUCAAAAGCACCUGUCCACUUAAAUAUACUUCCCUUUCCCAGAUAACAAAGAACAUAAACAACAUCAAAUAUAAACCUUUCUUAAGCUCAAAUAACCUCAAGAGAUAGAUGUGUUUAGCGUACCAAGAAGUGAUUAAACCACAAAGAUGAGCAUACCAAACAAAUAUGACUAUAUGAAAUGAGCAAUAGUGACAAGUUGGGAACAAGAAAUGAUUUUGGAGCACUUGUAUUUUUGGGGCAGCAGCUUACUGCUAAUCUCAGUCCCUCUUUUUAGAACAUUAUAACCAUGAUACACACUCUCCAGAAGCUAUAAACAACAAGCAAAAAAUUUCUUUUCUUUUUUUUUUUAAAAUUUAAAUCUAGGCGGAAUGAAGAUACGAGCAUGAAUCAAGCGGAACCCAUUGUUAGAGGACUAUCUCGAGAUAAAUAAAAAAAAGAGAAAAUACGAACUAUUGCAUCCAAUGCAUAACAGACACAGCAACAUUCAAUCUCCGUAUUAACUAGCUUCGAGAUUACGAAACAACUCUAAAAAAAAAAAAAACAAUGAACCCAAGAGCAUGUCUCAUGCUUCAAACAACUAAGACAAUGUUUAACUUGAAAACUAAACACUCCACUAUCAGACUUCAGCUGCAAGCUACAAAUAACAGGGAUGCAAGCUAAGAAAGAUAGAAACAAACGAGAGCCCUAGUUCACGAACAAAAUAUCAACUAAAACAACUAAAAUCAAAGACAUUUACCUUUGAGAGAGCAGCGAAACAGGGGUGAGACGAGCAGCCACGAAGACGAUUUCACCACCAAAAGGAGAUUACAAAGACUCCUACAAAUGAGCAGGGGAAUCACACUAUGAUCACACUGAUCUAUUAUUUGUUUCGAAUAUGUUUAGUGUGUAUUUUACGAUUUUUGCUUGAAUUCUUUAGGUUCUUUUUGGUUCCCCCAAAAUCCCACCUUGAACAAUGGAGAAGGAGGGGAUAUAUAUAGGGGAAAACUAGAGCUCAUGAUUUGAAAGAGACGGGUGAAUUUUUUGGAGUAGCUUGGGGCAAAAUCGUCAAUCCGGAUUCAACCUCUUUUGAAUUUUUCUCCCUCAAAGCUGUUGCUUGUAUCAAAUUUCAAACAAAAUCCCCCAAAAUUCGGAUGAAAAGAUCGAGGUGGGCGGCUGUUGCAGAGAAAGCUGUGGGAGUUGUUGGACUGGCAGAUUUGUGUAGAAGAAGAAGAUGUGCAGGGGUCGGCUAC
RNAcentral lists this long non-coding RNA (1814 nucleotides) under Solanum tuberosum (potato). RNAcentral describes it as "long non-coding RNA (STUB_LNC010187)". Lineage: Eukaryota; Viridiplantae; Streptophyta; Magnoliopsida; Solanales; Solanaceae. The record is from RNAcentral.